RNAcentral lists this ribosomal RNA (440 nucleotides) under uncultured bacterium. RNAcentral describes it as "partial 16S ribosomal RNA". It matches the Rfam family "Bacterial small subunit ribosomal RNA", at positions 339 to 795 of the family's 1533-position model. The record is from RNAcentral.
CUACGGGCCGCAGCAGCAAGGAAUAUUGCGCAAUGGGCGAAAGCCUGACGCAGCGACGCCGCGUGGGGGAUGAAGGCCUUCGGGUUGUAAACCCCUUUUCUCAGGGAAGAAUAAUGACGGUACCUGAGGAAUAAGUCUCGGCUAACUACGUGCCAGCAGCCGCGGUAAUACGUAGGAGGCGAGCGUUAUCCGGAUUUACUGGGCGUAAAGCGGGUGUAGGCGGCUCUUCAAGUCGGAUGUGAAAUCUCUCGGCUUAACUGGGAGGGGUCAUUCGAUACUGCUGGGCUUGAGUGCAGCAGAGGAAAGCGGAAUUCCCGGUGUAGUGGUGAAAUGCGUAGAUAUCGGGAGGAACACCAGUGGCGAAGGCGGCUUUCUGGGCUGUAACUGACGCUGAGACCCAUAAGCGUGGGGAGCAAACAGGAUUAGAUACCCGAGUAGUC